CCUACGGGAGGCAGCAGUGAGGAAUUUUGGACAAUGGGCGCGAGCCUGAACCAGCAAAGUCGCGUGAAGGAUGACUGCCCUACGGGUUGUAACCUUCUUUUAUAAAGGAAUAAAGUGAGGCAAGUGUGCCUUUAUGUAUGUACUUUAUGAAUAAGGAUCGGCUAACUCCGUGCCAGCAGCGGCGGUAAUACGGAGGAUCCGAGCGUUAUCCGGUUUUAUUGGGUUUAAAGGGGGCGUAGAUGGGUUGUUAAGUCAGUUGUGAAAGUGUGCGGCUCAACCGUAAAAUUGCAAUUGAUACUGGUAGUCUUGAGUACAUUUGAGGUAGGCGGAAUUCGUGGUGUAGCGGUGAAAUGCGUAGAUAUCACGAAGAACUCCGAUUGCGAAGGCAGCUUACUAAACUGCCACUGACAUUGAUGCUCGAAAGUGUGGGUAUCAAACAGGAUUAGAUACCCUGGUAGUC
This 460-nucleotide ribosomal RNA is filed under the name uncultured bacterium. RNAcentral's name for it is "partial 16S ribosomal RNA". It matches the Rfam family "Bacterial small subunit ribosomal RNA", at positions 338 to 795 of the family's 1533-position model. The record is from RNAcentral.